UCAAGGAAACCUGGAGAAGGAACCUGAAGAAUAAAGUUGUGAGAGGGAUGAUCUAAACAGAGUAAGGGGAGCACAUAAGUGGACUGACUAUAUGGUUUGCCUUGGCAGGUAGAGAGAAGGUUUCAAAAUGCAGAAGAGGCCAAGGAAAGAAGAUUUAUCCUAGGCUGGGCAGCAAUAAAAACAGCAUUCUUCCAGAGAGAGUGAGAAAAUAAGAAAAUGACCAUGAAGAGCAAAUAAAACUAGAAAAGGAGAGAAUAAAGAUUUAUAUUUACGUACAUCGCUGUGAAUGUGCUUUGUUGCUCGUUCAGGCACCGUGGCAAGUUUCUACAACAUACACCCUAUCUUGCAGCAAAAACGCAGAAGUAUUGAGAGACAUCUUUGAAAACCUUCAUCACUUUAUGCAACAGGCUUAGGUUUCCCUGAAGACAAAAGCAUCCCUUAAGUCAAGUUUUUUGUUUUAAAGCUUUGUGAUCAAUCGUAAUACAGGUAGUAGAUGUCAUUACGUUGUAGAACAUAAGAUAGUCUUGGAAGGAUGAAUUUAUAAAGUGAAUCAGUAGAGAACCCAGAAAUUCUGCCUUCUACAAAUUAGUUCCCCCUCUCCUCUUCUCACUUUUAAGUGGGAGAGACGACUAUAAACUUCUGAAAGCUUGUUAAUGUAUUAUUCAUGAAAGUAUCCUAAAAAAGAGUUGUUUGGUGUAUGCCUUUGAGGAUGAAGGUGCAUGUCCUUACAUCUAAGAAAGAAAGCAGUGAAUAGAAAGACUGUCAAUAAGCACAAGGAGAUAUGUCAUUAUCAAUUUGAGUAUUCGCUUCUUUUCUGGAAGGUUGCAAAUAUAUCCUUCUAAAACUGCUGAUCCAAUAAGGCACUGUUUAUAAACUAUUUUCACUUGAUCCUAAAUUCAAGUAUUACGGAUGAUUGCAAUAUAAUGUAUAAAAUUUAAAAAGGUGUUAUCUUAUUCAAUUAUUUCUUAUUUUAUGAUAUAUGGGCAUUGAAUUAAAAGAAUUUUAGAUGAAAUGUCUAUACCUAAAUAAAAUCUUUAAGUUACAUACAUAAAUUUGUGCCCUUCUUGUAAAACUCUUCAGAAACUCUGAAUUUUUAAAAAUGAGCAAAUGGAAGUUGAUUUUUUCGUCAAAUUUAUAAAAAGGUAUUGUUCUGAACCAGUGGUAUUAAGUUUGUGGAAAUAAAAAUUCUUGCCUAGUGGUACAAAAGCAUGCAAGUGAGUGUGAAUGCUUUAUGGUGCCUUCCUAGCUGCCUUACUCUAGCUCCCCUAUGUGGGCUGCCAUGCUGCUGCACCAGGUCUCCCCUUGAAUUGUGCAAUGUAGCAAUACUGGUUAAUACUUCCCCAUACUAGAGAAAUGUCUUCCCUGACAGGUGUCCUAACAAUUCCCUCAGAACUUAGUUCUUCUUUUGGAAUGCAGUUACAUUGUCUCAUAAAACUUGAUCAAUAGCAUUUCCUCCAAUAGUUAAUAUUAAAUGUUCAAGUGUUAAAAAAUAGUUUAAAGAAUAUUAAAGUGCAAUCUCACUCCUGGGCAUAUAUCCAGAGGGAACUAUAAUUUGAAAAGAUACACACACCCCAAUGUUCAUAGCAGCACUAUAUACAAUAGCCAAGACAUGGAAGCAACCUAAAUGUUUAUCAACAGAUGCCUGGAUAAAGAAGUUGUGAUAUAUGUAUAUGGAAUGGAAUACUACUCAGCCAUAAAAAAGAAUAAAAUAAUGCCAUCUGCAGCAACACUGAUGGACCUGGAGAUUAUCAUUCUAAGUGAAGCAAGCCAGAAAGAGAAAGAAAAAUACCAUAUGAUAUCACUCAUAUGUGGAAUCUGAAAAAAAAAAAGAAAGAAAAAAAGAGGAUACUAAUAAAUUUAUCUAUAAAACAGCAACAGAUUCGCAGACAUAGUAAACAAUUUUAUAGUUACCAGGGGAAAGGGGGUGGGAAGGGAUAAAUUUGGGAGUUUGAGAUUUGCAAAUGUUAGCCACCAUAUAUAAAAAUAGAUUUAAAAAACUCAGAUUUCUUCUGUACAGCACAGGGAACUAUAUUCAAUAUCUUGUAAUAACCUUUAAUGAAAAAGAAAUAUAUGUGUGUAUAUGCAUGACUGGGACAUUGUGCUGUAUACCAGAAAUUGACACAUUGUAACUGACUAUGCUUCAAUAAAAUUUUUAAAAAAGUAUUAAUGCCAGUUUACUCAAACUCUUCCGAAGAACUGAGGAGGAGGGAAUACUUCCAAACUUUUUAAAAAUCAAUGCUAGAUAGUAUUAUAAGAAAAGAAAACUGUAAGCCUAUAUUCCUGAUGAAUAUAGAUAUACUAAUUCUCAACAAAAUACUAGCAAACUAAUUCAAUAUGUACUGGAAAUCCUAGCCAGAUUGAUCAGGCAAGAAAAAAAGGCAUCCAAACUGAAAAGAAAGAAAUAAUAUAGUCUCUGCUGGUGACAUGAUCUUGUACAUAGAAAAUCCUAAACUCCACCAAAAAAAAAAAAAUUAUUAGAACUAAUCAGUAAAUUCAGUGAAGUCACAGGAUAC
This is a long non-coding RNA of Camelus dromedarius (Arabian camel), 2513 nucleotides long. RefSeq lists it as uncharacterized. The record is from RefSeq and is a predicted model, not a curated record. Lineage: Eukaryota; Metazoa; Chordata; Mammalia; Artiodactyla; Camelidae. The transcript has 4 exons.